CAUGCACCAGUGGGGUCCCUUGGCCUGGCCUGUGACCUAUCGCAAUCCGGGACCCCUCAGGGGAUGUCGGACUGCCGGUUUCUGCCCGAAUCCUGCAGGCUAGGCCAAGGGACCCCACUGGUGCAUG
Molecule: microRNA precursor, 127 nt
Filed under: Myotis davidii
Lineage: Eukaryota; Metazoa; Chordata; Mammalia; Chiroptera; Vespertilionidae
Description: mir-9193 microRNA precursor family
Rfam family: mir-9193 microRNA precursor family
Source: Rfam by way of RNAcentral